Molecule: ribosomal RNA, 388 nt
Filed under: uncultured bacterium
Lineage: Bacteria
Description: bacterial SSU rRNA
Rfam family: Bacterial small subunit ribosomal RNA
Source: RNAcentral
GACGAACGCUGGCGGCGUGCUUAACACAUGCAGGUCGAGCGGUAAGGCCCUUUCGGGGGUACACGAGCGGCGAACGGGUGAGUAACACGUGGGUGACCUGCCCUCAGCUCUGGGAUAAGCCUGGGAAACCGGGUCUAAUACCGGAUAUGACUCCAUGACGCAUGUUGUGGGGUGGAAAGCCUUGUGCGGCUGAGGAUGGGCCCGCGGCCUAUCAGCUUGUUGGUGGGGNGAUGGCCUACCAAGGCGACGACGGGUAGCCGGCCUGAGAGGGCGACCGGCCACACUGGGACUGAGACACGGCCCAGACUCCUACGGGAGGCAGCAGUGGGGAAUCUUGCGCAAUGGGCGAAAGCCUGACGCAGCGACGCCGCGUGAGGGAUGACGGCCU